GAUGGACGCUGGCGGCGUGCCUAAUACAUGCAAGUCGAGCGAACGGACGAGAAGCAUGCUUCUCUGAUGUUAGCGGCGGACGGGUGAGUAACACGUGGAUAACCUACCUAUAAGACUGGGAUAACUUCGGGAAACCGGAGCUAAUACCGGAUAAUAUUUUGAACCGCAUGGUUCAAAAGUGAAAGACGGUCUUGCUGUCACUUAUAGAUGGAUCCGCGCUGCAUUAGCUAGUUGGUAAGGUAACGGCUUACCAAGGCAACGAUGCAUAGCCGACCUGAGAGGGUGAUCGGCCACACUGGAACUGAGACACGGUCCAGACUCCUACGGGAGGCAGCAGUAGGGAAUCUUCCGCAAUGGGCGAAAGCCUGACGGAGCAACGCCGCGUGAGUGAUGAAGGUCUUCGGAUCGUAAAACUCUGUUAUUAGGGAAGAACAUAUGUGUAAGUAACUGUGCACAUCUUGACGGUACCUAAUCAGAAAGCCACGGCUAACUACGU
RNAcentral lists this ribosomal RNA (496 nucleotides) under uncultured bacterium. Its description in RNAcentral is "partial 16S ribosomal RNA". It matches the Rfam family "Bacterial small subunit ribosomal RNA", at positions 28 to 506 of the family's 1533-position model. The record is from RNAcentral.